Molecule: long non-coding RNA, 687 nt
Organism: Loxodonta africana (African savanna elephant)
Lineage: Eukaryota; Metazoa; Chordata; Mammalia; Proboscidea; Elephantidae
Exons: 3
Source: RefSeq, a predicted model, not a curated record
UUAGAGGAAACUGAAAAUUCUAUAAAAAUUUUCAGGAAUCUGUUCGAUUGUGCUCUAAGAUUCAAACAGUUUCCUUGAGAAUAUUCUGGGUAAACAGCACUGAUCUCAGCAAAUACACCUUGUUCCUUUAAUUGUAAGAAGCACUGUUGAUUCUGGCCCCCUUUCCAGCAGUUGUCCCCAGUGUUGCUUGGAGUGAUGAAAACCCUGAGGAGAGAGGCCUUCCACACUGUGUCAUGCACCCACAUUAGGAAACAGUGACCUCGAGCUCCUCCAGGUCCUCCUGUGUGGGAGAGAGAGUUCAAAGAGAGCAGGGAGCUCUCUCCAGCUUAGCAAGUCUGCCUCUUUUACCCUGGGCUGGGGAUCCCGACAUUGCAGAGCCGACAUAUGAAAGGAAGUCUGGAAACUCCGCCGAAGCCUGUUUAGCAUCAUUGCAACACAGAAGCCUCCACUGACAGACGAGUGAUGGCUGCAUAUGAGGAGGACUGGCUGGGAACCUCACCCAGGUCUCCGGCAUGGAAGGUGAGAAUUCUGCCACAGAACCACCGAUGCUCCCACCCCCAGCCUGCGGUCUCCGCAAGAAGGCUUAGAACAUCCGCCAUAUUAUCGGCGCCUCCCGGGAAGCCAUCCACACUCAGCACUCACCCUCAGGCCCUGUAACCUCAUUCUUGUCACCACUUGACCAACGCC